This 250-nucleotide ribosomal RNA is filed under the name uncultured Gammaproteobacteria bacterium. Its description in RNAcentral is "partial 16S ribosomal RNA". It matches the Rfam family "Bacterial small subunit ribosomal RNA", at positions 524 to 773 of the family's 1533-position model. The record is from RNAcentral. Lineage: Bacteria; Pseudomonadati; Pseudomonadota; Gammaproteobacteria.
UACGGAGGGUGCAAGCGUUAAUCGGAAUUACUGGGCGUAAAGGGCACGCAGGUGGCUUGACAAGUCGGAUGUGAAAGCCCCGGGCUUAACCUGGGAACUGCAUUCGAUACUGUCGAGCUAGAGUAUGGGAGAGGAAAGUGGAAUUCCCGGUGUAGCGGUGAAAUGCGUAGAUAUCGGGAGGAACAUCAGUGGCGAAGGCGACUUUCUGGCCCAAUACUGACACUCAUGUGCGAAAGCGUGGGGAGCAAAC